GUGAACGCUGGCGGUAGGCCUAACACAUGCAAGUCGAACGGCAGCACAGUAAGAGCUUGCUCUUACGGGUGGCGAGUGGCGGACGGGUGAGGAAUACAUCGGAAUCUACUUUUUCGUGGGGGAUAACGUAGGGAAACUUACGCUAAUACCGCAUACGACCUACGGGUGAAAGCAGGGGAUCUUCGGACCUUGCGCGAUUGAAUGAGCCGAUGUCGGAUUAGCUAGUUGGCGGGGUAAAGGCCCACCAAGGCGACGAUCCGUAGCUGGUCUGAGAGGAUGAUCAGCCACACUGGAACUGAGACACGGUCCAGACUCCUACGGGAGGCAGCAGUGGGGAAUAUUGGACAAUGGGCGCAAGCCUGAUCCAGCCAUACCGCGUGGGUGAAGAAGGCCUUCGGGUUGUAAAGCCCUCUUGUUGGGAAAGAAAAGCAGCAGGUUAAUACCCCGCUGUUCUGACGGUACCCAAAGAAUAAGCACCGGCGAACUUCGU
RNAcentral lists this ribosomal RNA (490 nucleotides) under uncultured bacterium. Its description in RNAcentral is "partial 16S ribosomal RNA". It matches the Rfam family "Bacterial small subunit ribosomal RNA", at positions 29 to 506 of the family's 1533-position model. The record is from RNAcentral.